UAGAGUUUGAUCCUGGCUCAGAUUGAACGCUGGCGGCAGGCUUAACACAUGCAAGUCGAACGGUAACAGGAAGCAGCUUGCUGCUUUGCUGACGAGUGGCGGACGGGUGAGUAAUGUCUGGGAAACUGCCUGAUGGAGGGGGAUAACUACUGGAAACGGUAGCUAAUACCGCAUAACGUCGCAAGACCAAAGUGGGGGACCUUCGGGCCUCAUGCCAUCAGAUGUGCCCAGAUGGGAUUAGCUAGUAGGUGGGGUAAUGGCUCACCUAGGCGACGAUCCCUAGCUGGUCUGAGAGGAUGACCAGCCACACUGGAACUGAGACACGGUCCAGACUCCUACGGGAGGCAGCAGUGGGGAAUAUUGCACAAUGGGCGCAAGCCUGAUGCAGCCAUGCCGCGUGUAUGAAGAAGGCCUUCGGGUUGUAAAGUACUUUCAGCGAGGAGGAAGGCAUUAAGGUUAAUAACCUUAGUGAUUGACGUUACUCGCAGAAGAAGCGCCGGCUAACUCCGUGCCAGCAGCCGCGGUAAUACGGAGGGUGCAAGCGUUAAUCGGAAUUACUGGGGCGUAAAGCGCACGCAGGCGGUCUGUUAAGUCAGAUGUGAAAUCCCUGGGCUCAACCUGGGAACUGCAUUUGAAACUGGCACGCUUGAGUCUCGUAGAGGGGGGUAGAAUUCCAGGUGUAGCGGUGAAAUGCGUAGAGAUCUGGAGGAAUACCGGUGG
This 720-nucleotide ribosomal RNA is filed under the name uncultured bacterium. RNAcentral's name for it is "bacterial SSU rRNA". It matches the Rfam family "Bacterial small subunit ribosomal RNA", at positions 1 to 715 of the family's 1533-position model. The record is from RNAcentral.